This is a non-coding RNA of Macaca mulatta (Rhesus monkey), 462 nucleotides long. NCBI's taxonomy places the organism in Eukaryota, Metazoa, Chordata, Mammalia, Primates, Cercopithecidae. The record is from RefSeq and is a predicted model, not a curated record.
UUUUCUAGACAUAACACUAAAGCGGAUGCAGAGCUACUGAGCCACUCUCUAUUCCCUGUCUAAAGCAUCUCCACCCUUUCAUUCUAAGCAGGUACCCUGCUUCUAAUACCACAAAAAGCAGGAUAUAGAUGAAUUGUUAGCUGCCUAGAUGCCGAGACCCGACUACCUCUAUUGUUGCAACAUCAAGAGAUUGCACUAUAAGAAUGGGCAGAACUCACUCUGGAAGAGCUAGUGGGAAUAAUGCCAUUUGGGAAGCACACAACAUAGGCAGCACAGUGGAGCACAGGAAAGUCUGGAGCGUUAGUUCCUGGGUCCUGAAGGAAUGAGAACUUUCACUGGAGUCUGGAUUCCACUGUAGACAAAAUCCUCUUUGUAUCGCCAAAUGACUCCCAUUUUCCUAAACUUACUCUAAGAAUAUCUUUUAACAGCAAUUUGAAUAAACCGACUCACAUACCACUGUGA